Molecule: ribosomal RNA, 443 nt
Filed under: uncultured bacterium
Lineage: Bacteria
Description: partial 16S ribosomal RNA
Rfam family: Bacterial small subunit ribosomal RNA
Source: RNAcentral
CCUACGGGAGGCAGCAGUGGGGAAUAUUGGGCAAUGGGCGCAAGCCUGACCCAGCAACGCCGCGUGAAGGAAGAAGGCUUUCGGGUUGUAAACUUCUUUUGUCAGGGACGAAGCAAGUGACGGUACCCUACGAAUAAGCCACGGCUAACUACGUGCCAGCAGCCGCAGUAAUACGUAGGUGGCAAGCGUGAUCCGGAUGUACUGGGUGUAAAGGGCGUGUAGGCGGGACUGCAAGUCAGAUGUGAAAACCACGGGCUCAACCUGUGGCCUGCAUUUGAAACUGUAGUUCUUGAGUACUGGAGAGGCAGGCGGAAUUCCUAGUGUAGCGGUGAAAUGCGUAGAUAUUAGGAGGAACACCAGUGGCGAAGGCGGUCUGCUGGACAGCAACUGACGCUGAGGCGCGAAAGCGUGGGGAGCAAACAGGAUUAGAUACCCUGGUAGUC